AUGAUUAUUAGUUGCGUUGAGUCAUCAGGCAAAACUGUCAAACAUCAAAGUUUAGAAAAUGGAUCAGAAACUGUCAAACUACCACUGACUUCACCUCUACCCAUGCCAUGUCGGACUUCCAAGGAUGGCCUGGAUGCUUGGAAGAUGCCCAUUCAUUCUCGCCCAGUCUGCUGGCAGAUGGUGCUGCCGCAGCCUGAUUCAAACAGAACCGUGUCUGUGAGGCCUUUCCUGUCAGAGAUCUACCAGGAGAAGCAAACACACUGGGCACACCUUCCAAAGCAAGAGAUCCGCGCCUUAUAAAGGUUCACAGAGGAGUCCAGCAGACCUGGCCAUGGAUACCUGCGGCUCUACCGUCUGAUUUCCUUAUGCACACAAUGGAAGACACAAUUCAACUCCAUCAGAGGAAAAUGCUGGCCCAAAGACUCAUGCAUGCAAAGAGAUUAUUAUGUACCUGAUUAAUGUAAGAUCCCCAUAAUGAUACUAUAUUGCUAAAUCUAAGUUAAUAGACUAAUUUAUAUCUAUCCCAAAUAUUGGAGACAUAAAUCAUUUUUAGAGAGUGUAUACCCAAAUAUUACUGACCCAGGUGGCCUCAUAGCAUCUUAUCAGACGGCUGUCUACUCAAUAUAAAAAAAGUACUUAGCUGAUUGGUUUCCAUUUGGAGUGCAAUCUUAUUUUUUAACUUAACGAUACCUUAAGGUGUUAUUUAAAAAAAAAAUAGACUGGAUUGUAAAUGCAAUGCAAAAUUUAAGCUAUUUUGUUGUUGUUUUCUUGUCUGUUUUUUUUAAAAACAGUUUAACUUCUCACUAAUUUUAUUGUAUUGCUAUAGGCCUAGUAAAGCCUCCUGCAAAUGUAACUGUAAAAGUGGAGGCUACAGGCUGGCACUUAGCCCACGGGUGGCACUGUGGUAGCCCUCCACAUUUUUGCAUGUUUCUUUCUGUAAUCCUCUUUAGAAUUAAGGUCAGACUUCAGACAUCAAACCAUCCUAGAGUACUUUAUUAUGAUCUUGGUUGGUGGAAAAUGUGUAUUUCUCCUUAAAGCACACCUGAAAAGUGUAAGACUUUAGCAGCCAAUGAAAAUUGUUCUUAGUUGCAAUAGCUUAGCUAAGUGUGUGCUUUGCAGUUUGUGCUAGAAUCCUAAUUUAUGAUUUUGUAGUCAUUUACCAAAUGGAAAGUGGUAACACAUUUAGGGUUCAGACAUGAAACAUCUUAUAAGUGACUUAAAAUAGUAAAGUAUCUGGGGAAAGAGGCCCUCUUUUCUUCUUUCCCUCCAACUUUUCUAAAAAAAGAAGAAAUACAAUCACAUUAAUUUCUUAAGAAAAAAAACUAUUUAUGGCAAAUUUUUUUGGUAAGGGGAUGUAACAACUAGAGCCUUCAGCCCCUGCUGGUGAGGUUUUAAGUUGGGACAGUCAUUUUUGAAAAUUGUUGAGCAAUCUCUAGUAAGUUGAAACACACAUAUUUUAUGACUCAGCAACUCCUCACCAGUAAUGAUACCUAUAUUCAAUGAAAUGCAUUAAAAUGUCUCCUUUAUGCAUAACAAACAAGGGCUGUAAGCAACUCAAAAAACCAGCAGUUGACUAGCUAAAUAAAUUGUAGUAUUUAUACA
This 1602-nucleotide long non-coding RNA is filed under the name Mus spicilegus (steppe mouse). Its description in RNAcentral is "lncRNA (ENSMSIG00000012929.1)". Lineage: Eukaryota; Metazoa; Chordata; Mammalia; Rodentia; Muridae. The record is from RNAcentral.